CAGGAUGAACGCUAGCGACAGGCUUAACACAUGCAAGUCGAGGGGCAGCACGGGAGUAGCAUACUUGGUGGCGACCGGCGCACGGGUGAGUAACGCGUAUGCAACCUACCUAUCAGAGGGGAAUAACCCGGCGAAAGUCGGACUAAUACCGCAUAAAACAGGGGCACCGCAUGGUGAUAUUUGUUAAAGAAAUUCGCUGAUAGAUGGGCAUGCGUUCCAUUAGGUAGUUGGUGAGGUAACGGCUCACCAAGCCGACGAUGGAUAGGGGAACUGAGAGGUUGGUCCCCCACACUGGUACUGAGACACGGACCAGACUCCUACGGGAGGCAGCAGUGAGGAAUAUUGGUCAAUGGGCGGGAGCCUGAACCAGCCAAGUCGCGUGAAGGAAAGAAGGAUCUAUGGUUCGUAAACUUCUUUUGCAGGGGAAUAAAGUGCAGGACGUGUCCUGUUUUGUAUGUACCCUGAGAAUAAGGAUCGGCUAACUCCGUGCCAGCAGCAGC
Molecule: ribosomal RNA, 500 nt
Filed under: uncultured bacterium
Lineage: Bacteria
Description: bacterial SSU rRNA
Rfam family: Bacterial small subunit ribosomal RNA
Source: RNAcentral